Molecule: ribosomal RNA, 253 nt
Filed under: uncultured bacterium
Lineage: Bacteria
Description: partial 16S ribosomal RNA
Rfam family: Bacterial small subunit ribosomal RNA
Source: RNAcentral
UACGAAGGGGGCUAGCGUUGUUCGGAAUCACUGGGCGUAAAGGGCGCGUAGGCGGCGCGACAAGUCAGGCGUGAAAGCCCCGGGCUCAAUCCGGGAAUUGCGCUUGAUACUGUCGUGCUUGAGGCCGGGAGAGGAUGGCGGAAUUCCCAGUGUAGAGGUGAAAUUCGUAGAUAUUGGGAAGAACACCGGUGGCGAAGGCGGCCAUCUGGACCGGUUCUGACGCUGAGGCGCGAAAGCGUGGGGAGCAAACAGG